UUCGCCCUUAGAGUUUGAUCCUGGCUCAGAGCGAACGCUGGCGGCAGGCUUAACACAUGCAAGUCGAGCGGGCGUAGCAAUACGUCAGCGGCAGACGGGUGAGUAACGCGUGGGAACGUACCUUUUGGUUCGGAACAACACAGGGAAACUUGUGCUAAUACCGGAUAAGCCCUUACGGGGAAAGAUUUAUCGCCGAAAGAUCGGCCCGCGUCUGAUUAGCUAGUUGGUGAGGUAACGGCUCACCAAGGCGACGAUCAGUAGCUGGUCUGAGAGGAUGAUCAGCCACAUUGGGAUUGAGACACGGCCCAAACUCCUACGGGAGGCAGCAGUGGGGAAUAUUGGACAAUGGGGGCAACCCUGAUCCAGCCAUGCCGCGUGAGUGAUGAAGGCCCUAGGGUUGUAAAGCUCUUUUGUGCGGGAAGAUAAUGACGGUACCGCAAGAAUAAGCCCCGGCUAACUUCGUGCCAGCAGCCGCGGUAAUACGAAGGGGGCUAGCGUUGCUCGGAAUCACUGGGCGUAAAGGGUGCGUAGGCGGAUCUUUAAGUCAGAGGUGAAAGCCUGGAGCUCAACUCCAGAACUGCCUUUGAUACUGGGGAUCUUGAGUUCGGGAGAGGUGAGUGGAACUGCGAGUGUAGAGGUGAAAUUCGUAGAUAUUCGCAAGAACACCAGUGGCGAAGGCGGCUCACUGGCCCGAUACUGACGCUGAGGCACGAAAGCGUGGGGAGCAAACAGGAUAAGAUACCCUGGUAGUCCACGCCGUAAAC
This 764-nucleotide ribosomal RNA is filed under the name uncultured bacterium. Its description in RNAcentral is "bacterial SSU rRNA". It matches the Rfam family "Bacterial small subunit ribosomal RNA", at positions 1 to 807 of the family's 1533-position model. The record is from RNAcentral.